CAGAACGUAGCCAAGCUAGCAAAGCGUCUCCCUUACACUGAGAAAACACCCGUGCAAAUCGGGUCGUCCUGA
RNAcentral lists this transfer RNA (72 nucleotides) under Geophagus steindachneri (redhump eartheater). RNAcentral's name for it is "tRNA-Val". It matches the Rfam family "tRNA". From Rfam's summary of the family: Transfer RNA (tRNA) molecules are approximately 80 nucleotides in length. Their secondary structure includes four short double-helical elements and three loops (D, anti-codon, and T loops). Further hydrogen bonds mediate the characteristic L-shaped molecular structure. tRNAs have two regions of fundamental functional importance: the anti-codon, which is responsible for specific mRNA codon recognition, and the 3' end, to which the tRNAs corresponding amino acid is attached (by aminoacyl-tRNA synthetases). tRNAs cope with the degeneracy of the genetic code in two manners: having more than one tRNA (with a specific anti-codon) for a particular amino acid; and 'wobble' base-pairing, i.e. permitting non-standard base-pairing at the 3rd anti-codon position. Lineage: Eukaryota; Metazoa; Chordata; Actinopteri; Cichliformes; Cichlidae. The record is from RNAcentral.